AAUGGGUCAGCGACUUAUAUUCUGUAGCAAGGUUAACCGAAUAGGGGAGCCGGAGGGAAACCGAGUCUUAAUUGGGCGUUAAGUUGCAGGGUAUAGACCCGAAACCCGGUGAUCUAGCCAUGGGCAGGUUGAAGGUUGGGUAACACUAACUGGAGGACCGAACCGACUAAUGUUGAAAAAUUAGCGGAUGACCUGUGGCUGGGGGUGAAAGGCCAAUCAAACCGGGAGAUAGCUGGUUCUCCCCGAAAGCUAUUUAGGUAGCGCCUCGUGAAUUCAUCUCCGGGGGUAGAGCACUGUUUCGGCUAGGGGGCCAUCCCGGCUUACCAACCCGAUGCAAACUGCGAAUACCGGAGAAUGUUAUCACGGGAGACACACGGCGGGUGCUAACGUCCGUCGUGAAGAGGGAAACAACCCAGACCGCCAGCUAAGGUCCCAAAGUCAUGGUUAAGUGGGAAACGAUGUGGGAAGGCCCAGACAGCCAGGAUGUUGGCUUAGAAGCAGCCAUCAUUUAAAGAAAGCGUAAUAGCUCACUGGUCGAGUCGGCCUGCGCGGAAGAUGUAACGGGGCUAAACCAUGCACCGAAGCUGCGGCAGCGACGCUUAUGCGUUGUUGGGUAGGGGAGCGUUCUGUAAGCCUGCGAAGGUGGCCUGUGAGGGUUGCUGGAGGUAUCAGAAGUGCGAAUGCUGACAUAAGUAACGAUAAAGCGGGUGAAAAGCCCGCUCGCCGGAAGACCAAGGGUUCCUGUCCAACGUUAAUCGGGGCAGGGUGAGUCGACCCCUAAGGCGAGGCCGAAAGGCGUAGUCGAUGGGAAACGGGUUAAUAUUCCCGUACUUGGUGUUACUGCGAAGGGGGGACGGAGAAGGCUAUGUUGGCCGGGCGACGGUUGUCCCGGUUUAAGCGUGUAGGUGUGUGUUCCAGGUAAAUCCGGUUCACUUUAACACUGAGGCGUGAUGACGAGGCACUACGGUGCUGAAGCAACAAAUGCCCUGCUUCCAGGAAAAGCCUCUAAGCAUCAGGUAACAUCAAAUCGUACCCCAAACCGACACAGGUGGUCAGGUAGAGAAUACCAAGGCGCUUGAGAGAACUCGGGUGAAGGAACUAGGCAAAAUGGUGCCGUAACUUCGGGAGAAGGCACGCUGACAUGUAGGUGAAGUGAUUUACUCAUGGAGCUGAAGUCAGUCGAAGAUACCAGCUGGCUGCAACUGUUUAUUAAAAACACAGCACUGUGCAAACACGAAAGUGGACGUAUACGGUGUGACGCCUGCCCGGUGCCGGAAGGUUAAUUGAUGGGGUCAGCGCAAGCGAAGCUCCUGAUCGAAGCCCCGGUAAACGGCGGCCGUAACUAUAACGGUCCUAAGGUAGCGAAAUUCCUUGUCGGGUAAGUUCCGACCUGCACGAAUGGCGUAAUGAUGGCCAGGCUGUCUCCACCCGAGACUCAGUGAAAUUGAACUCGCUGUGAAGAUGCAGUGUACCCGCGGCAAGACGGAAAGACCCCGUGAACCUUUACUAUAGCUUGACACUGAACAUUGAGCCUUGAUGUGUAGGAUAGGUGGGAGGCUUUGAAGCGUGGACGCCAGUCUGCGUGGAGCCGACCUUGAAAUACCACCCUUUAAUGUUUGAUGUUCUAACGUGGACCCGUGAUCCGGGUUGCGGACAGUGUCUGGUGGGUAGUUUGACUGGGGCGGUCUCCUCCUAAAGAGUAACGGAGGAGCACGAAGGUUGGCUAAUCCUGGUCGGACAUCAGGAGGUUAGUGCAAUGGCAUAAGCCAGCUUGACUGCGAGCGUGACGGCGCGAGCAGGUGCGAAAGCAGGUCAUAGUGAUCCGGUGGUUCUGAAUGGAAGGGCCAUCGCUCAACGGAUAAAAGGUACUCCGGGGAUAACAGGCUGAUACCGCCCAAGAGUUCAUAUCGACGGCGGUGUUUGGCACCUCGAUGUCGGCUCAUCACAUCCUGGGGCUGAAGUAGGUCCCAAGGGUAUGGCUGUUCGCCAUUUAAAGUGGUACGCGAGCUGGGUUUAGAACGUCGUGAGACAGUUCGGUCCCUAUCUGCCGUGGGCGCUGGAGAACUGAGGGGGGCUGCUCCUAGUACGAGAGGACCGGAGUGGACGCAUCACUGGUGUUCGGGUUGUCAUGCCAAUGGCACUGCCCGGUAGCUAAAUGCGGAAGAGAUAAGUGCUGAAAGCAUCUAAGCACGAAACUUGCCCCGAG
RNAcentral lists this ribosomal RNA (2206 nucleotides) under Salmonella enterica. RNAcentral describes it as "partial 23S ribosomal RNA". It matches the Rfam family "Bacterial large subunit ribosomal RNA", at positions 614 to 2803 of the family's 2925-position model. Lineage: Bacteria; Pseudomonadati; Pseudomonadota; Gammaproteobacteria; Enterobacterales; Enterobacteriaceae. The record is from RNAcentral.